GAGAACUUAUUUUUUUAUAUUGUAUCGCUGCUCUUAUUUGGAUUGUAAUAACUCUAUAACUUCUGCUGAACUACUGCUUUACAACUUAACCUUGUGUUAAAAUGAUUUCGAAUUAUCGUGUUUAUGUUGCAUAUAGCACUUUACUUUUGUUUUAAAUGGAUCUUGAUCAUGAUUGGUAUAUGUGAUUAUGUUGAAUGAUUAUGCCUAUUGCUAACUGCUCAUACAUAUCCAAUUCUUAAUCAUUCCAUGUUUAACUUGAUAUAUCAUAACCUUUCAUGCCAUCAAAACUGUUCUGUUGCUGUUUGUUGUCCAUUUAAUCGAUUAAGAGCUUUAGUUAAUCGAUUAAAUGAUGAAAAACUGUGAAUUUGUUCAAGCUUCUCACAACUGGUUAAUUAGUUACUUACCCAAAAGUUAAUUGAUUAAUUACAGUAUGUUAUAAUCAUGAUAACUCUCCUAACUUUUGACUAGAAUUGAAUAUUUUCAUCUUUUUGAUAAUGUCAAAAUGGGGAGAAAGGUUGCUUGUUGUGUUACGUACAUUUUGCAGGUUGUAUAAUAAGUUUUGCAGGUUUUUUUACCAAGCUUCCAUAUAUGAUGUUUGCUUACCUACAAGGAAACAAAUGCGCUUCAAAUUUGAAAAACAACCAUUAACAACCAUUCUGCAAAUUCAUCAUCAAGCUAAUCCAUCAACAAUUGAGGAAUUUUGAUGAAGUGUUUGUCAUCAUCAAAAAGGGGGAGAUUGAGAGUGCAAAGUGUCAAGGAUAGCACUAGCAUUUCUCUGCCUAUGUUUUGAUGAAGACAAGGUUCUAUUAAAGCUUGAAGAUGGCUCAACAAUCAACAUGCCUUAUGCUCAUUUGGUCAUAUCGAGACUAUGACAUAAUUUGAGUCUAUAUUCUAAGUAGUCUGGGAUGUGUGCCGUAGUAAGUGAGUAUAGGUUAAGUGAACCUAGGUGCUAGUCUCUUAAGCCAUCUUAAUUGUCAUAUCAUAUCCAUGAGACAUAUCAUCUAGUGCAUUUAUCAUACAUGUUAUAUGUGCAUAUUAGGCAUAAUAUAAUUGCUAGAACAUGUAUAUAUAUAUAUUGUGCAUAACAUAUGAGAAGUUUACCUUGUGAAACAUUGCAUUAAUGUUCCAGUUAAUCGAUUAACGUGAUGACUUAAUCGAUUAACUCAACUGCUUUUCUGUUAAAUCAGUGUUUUCUGUGUCAUUCUAUUGCAUGGUUAAUCGAUUAACGGAUAGUCUUAAUCGAUUAACUAGUCUGUUAUUUGUUAUAACUGAAUUCUGGUUCAACCGUUUAACUGUUUGCAACGAAUGUAACCGCCUAAACACCAUGCUAUAAAUGAGAGGCAACGUUCAUAAAACCAUAGCAUUGCAUUAUAUUGUAUAGGGCUGUUUAGAGAGCAUUUUGCAUAUUUGUGUUACUAAUUUUGCAAGAGAGAUUGAAUGCGUGAGAAGAGAGAUAUUAUGUUGUUUUGAUUUCUAUCAUUUGCUUACUGUUUUGCAUAAUUCUAUGUUCAUUCUUAUCUUGCUCACAUGCUCAUGCAUUAGAUAGAUUGUUAGAGAGAUUAUCUGUAUACUGCUUUUGAUUAACUCACAUAAAUCUUGAUGGCUUAAUUGAUUAGUAAGUGGGUUAGUCUUUGACUCUUUUUCUUGUAAUAUUCCAAGCAUUAUUGUGCUAACUAUACCUUGCUCUUUAACGUGUUUUUUGUGUAUUUCUGGAUUAGUCUCUUGGUGUGAAAUCACCACAGAGAUUGAGAUUCUUCACCAAAGCUAGGAGGUCUUGAUUUGAGGACAAGAAUCUUGGUUGUGGCUAUUUCGCGAGAAAGGUUUUCUUAGGUGAAGGGUGGAGUCAAACCAAGGAUUUAGGGGUCCUAGAUUUUAAGAAAGAAGCGUCAUAUGUGCUUGUAAUUGAAUUUGUGUGUGUAUUCAUACUGUAUCUCAAUAUUGUGAAGAAGAAAAUCUCCCUAGAUCAGAAGGGGAGGCCUGGAUAUAGUUUGCAGUGGACUGCAAACGAACCAGGAUAAAAAUCCUUUGUGCACUGUUCUUUCUUUCUUAAUCUUCUUUAAGUUUCUUGCCGUUAUAAAUUGAAUCUGCAAUUGAUAUCCUGGAUAUUUGUUUACUGCCAUAUGCUUAAUAUUUGUG
RNAcentral lists this long non-coding RNA (2136 nucleotides) under Lupinus angustifolius (narrow-leaved blue lupine). RNAcentral's name for it is "long non-coding RNA (LANG_LNC001266)". The record is from RNAcentral. Lineage: Eukaryota; Viridiplantae; Streptophyta; Magnoliopsida; Fabales; Fabaceae.